UUUUUUUUUUUUUUUUGGUUUUUCGAGACAGGGUUUCUCUGUGUAGCUUUGCGCCUUUCCUGGAACUCACUUGGUAGCCCAGGCUGGCCUCGAACUCACAGAGAUCCGCCUGGCUCUGCCUCCCGAGUGCUGGGAUUAAAGGCGUGCGCCACCACCGCCCGGCGCCUGGCUGGUUUUAAACACACAGAUUCACCUGCUCCUGCCUUCUGAGUGCUUGGAUUAAAGGAGUGUGCCACCGCACGUGGCCGUUUUCAUAGCUGCUUUAUGUGAAAUGCUUAUAAACAAAACAAUCUCGUAUUUGUACAACAAUGGAAGACUUUUUAGUUACUUGCUGAUAGGAAAUAGUACAGCUGUAGCCACACUUAGGCCAUCUGGUUCCAAAGUUUAUAUAUAUAUAUAUAUAUAUAUAUAUAUAUGUAUGUAUGUAGUGGUUUGGUGUUUUUGAAACAGGGUUUCUCUGUGAAUCCCUGGCUGUUCUGGAACUCACUCUGUAGCCCAGGCUGGCCUUGAAUGAACUCUCAGAGAUCCACCUGCCUCUGCCUCCUGAGUGCCAGGAGUAAAGGCAUGCGCCACCACCGCCUGGCCAAAAUUUGUAUUCUUGGUCCCUGGAUAUUUGCAUGGGAUGUAAAGGGAAUUAAUCUCAUACAUAUGUUAAGAGGCAGUUUCUGGCUGGCUGUAAUGGUUUGUGCAGGUAGAUCUCUGUGAGUUCAAGGAUUUGAGUUCAAUCCCAGGUACCCAUGGAAAAUCCAGAUGUAGUGCACACUUGUCAUCCCAGUGCUGAGGAGGCAAAUCCCUGGGACUCGCUGGCCUGCCAGCCAAGCCUACUUGACAAGCCAUCUCCAAGGUCCUCUGGUCUCCACAUACACAUGCAAACACACACACACACACACACACACACACACACACACACACACACACACACCUCCCUGUCACCCCCAAGUCCAGCAUAGUUCUGUCACUCUUAAUGUGUGUGAGAGAGGAAAGGACCUGUGUCCUACAGGUGAAACGGUUUUGUUCUUUUAAGAUUUAUUUAUUUACUAUGGAUACAGUAUAAUGUCUGUGUGUAUGCCAGCAGGCCAGAAGAGGGCACCAGAUCUCAUUACAGAUGGUUGUGAGUCAUCAUGUGGUUGCUGGGAAUUGAACUCAGGACCUCUGGAAGAGCAGCCAGUGCUCUUAACCUCUGAGCCAUCGCUCCAGUCCCAGAUUCAAGACGUUGAUGUCCUAAUGUUGCUCAUUACAAAAUGAUGUCAACAUGGCCAAGUGCAUUAGGAAGAUUCCAGAAAAGUGCUGCAGAGCUGCUGACUAUCCUCAGAGGCUAUCAAAAUGCUACUUCGAUUCUUUUCUAUACUGCCUAUAAUUCAAGUUAUUAAACUUUAAAGCAUAUGAAAGCAUUUAUGAAGAUCCUAAAUUGUAUUUCUCAUUAAAGGAAAAGAAAGGGCGUGGUGAGUCAUGUUCCUGGACUGACUUAGGGAGAGAAGGCAGAAGGCCACUCUCAGUCACUCUGAAAGUUAGAACUCAGCUCUUGGCAGUUAAGAGUUCCUCAGUUUUACAGGCUUCUGCUCCUCUGAGCAUCCUGAAGGCAGUGAGAACACAAGGCUUCUGAUUUUCUAAACCAAAGUCAUUAUCAAAUGGAUUUAUUAAAGAGCUAUGCAGAACAACCAUGGGUGUGGAUGCAGCUGGCAUCCAUGGGAAUUAGAAAGGGCCACCCAAGGGCACUUACAAUUGAUUCAGGGUAAAACAAUCCAAGGCUUGUUACACAGGUCCAAACUAAAAUCAAUGAGCAAUUGUGAUAGGAAGAAUUUGUUUGCAUUUUUAAAAUUUUUAAAAUAUUACUUAUUUAUUGAGACAGGGUUUCAAUAUGUAGCCCUGACUGACCUGAAACUUGCUAUUAAAUCAGGAAAUCAGGCUGGCCCUGAACUCACAGAGCUCCGACCUCCUCUGGCUUCCAGGUUACUUUCUUUCAUUCUUUUUUUUUUUUUUUUUUUUUUGGUUUUUUGAGACAGGUUUCUCUGUGUAGUUUUGGUGCCUGUCCUGGAACUCACUCUGUGGUCCAGUCUAGCCUCAAACUCACAGAGAUCCUCCUAGCUCUGCCUCCCAAGUGCUGGGAUUAAAGGCAUGCGCCACCACCGCCCAGCCAGUUUAUAUUCUUAUAUUUGCUUGUAAAGGAUAUUUAUUGUGUUUACUGUUUUGUUUUGUUUUGUUUUUCCUUAAUACUGUUUAAGAACCCCAGCAUUUUCAUCUUUAAAAAAAUAAAUAAAUAAAAAAGGAAGAAAAUACAGGUUCCUGACAAAUAACUACCUGUAAAAGAUGUGGCCACUUCUGCAAUAGCUUUUCAUCCGAGAGACUUUCAUAUUGAAGCUAGUACAUCCAUUUUUCUUUUAUUUUUUUGGUCUUUAGAUAAUUUUAUGUGUGUGUUUUACCUGCAUGUAGGUCUGUAAAUUACAUGUGUGCCUGAUGCUACAGAGAUCCACCUGCCUCUGCCUCCUGAGUGCUGUGAUAAAAGGCAUGUGCCAUCACCGCCCGGCUCAUUUUUAAACUCUUAUACACUCAUGAUUUAUUUUCAUGUUGGCUUUAAAAAAGUGGUUUCAUCAUUCAUGCCAACGAUCAGUCUGUAUCAGGCACCCACAGGACAAACAGAUCUGUCUUUGACACAGCAUGGGAGUGCUAGUAAGACCAAUAUGAUAAUGACUGCUAUGUAGUCCAAGCUGGACACAAACUCACUUUGUAGCUCAGGCUGGCCUGGAACUUGAAACCUGCUGUGGGAUAUUCUGUGUAUUAAAUGUGUUGCUCUGAUUGGUUAAUAAAUAAAACACUGAUUGGCCAGUAGCCAGGCAGGAAGUAUAGGUGGGACAAGGAGAGAGGAGAAUUCUGGGAAGUGGAAGGCUGAGGCAGAGAGACGCUGCCAGCCGCCGUGAUGAGAAGCAACAUGUUAAGAUACCGGUAAGCCAUGAGCCACAUGGCAACUUAUAGAUUAAUAGAAAUGGGUUAAUUUAAGAUAGAAGAACUAGUUAACAAGAAGCCUGCCACAGCCAUACAGUUUGUAAGCAAUAUAAGUCUCUGUGUGUGUGUGUUUACUUGGUUGGGUCUGAGCGGCUGCAGGACUGGCGGGUGAGAGAGAUUUGUCCUGGCCCUAGGCCAGGCAGGACCAGGAAAACUCUAGCUGCAGAAACUUCUUGCCUCAAUCUCCUAAGUAGCUGGGAUUACAGGCAUGUGUCAUCACAUUUUACUGGGAUCAUAUAGUUCAAAAAAUUCUACAGUCUAUUGAGAAAGAGGUCCUUUUUUUUUUUUUUUUUUUUG
Molecule: long non-coding RNA, 3297 nt
Organism: Peromyscus californicus insignis
Lineage: Eukaryota; Metazoa; Chordata; Mammalia; Rodentia; Cricetidae
Exons: 2
Source: RefSeq, a predicted model, not a curated record